GGUAUGUUACAUAAUAAAUAUAUAAUAAUUAAUAUACUAUAUAUGUUAUUAUUAUAAUUUUUAUAUAUAUAGAUUAAAUAUAUUUAAAAUUAUAAUAAACAUAUAUUAAUAAUAUAUAAGAGUUAUAUAUUUAAAAAUAUUAAUAAACUCAGAUCUGUGCAGAUCUAAAGACUAAUUUAUUCCAAUUAAUCUCAGAUAAUUAACUCUUCCAUCCUAAUUAACUCUCCCAAUUAACUCUCCCAAUUGACUUCUCUGGUUAAUUGUCAAUUAACCCUCGUACAGCACCCCUCCUCGUCCCCUUCCUCCGGCACCGGCAGCACCCUCCUCAACCACCGUUGCCACUCCAAACCCCGAG
This 355-nucleotide long non-coding RNA is filed under the name Ananas comosus (pineapple). Its description in RNAcentral is "long non-coding RNA (ACOM_LNC011910)". Lineage: Eukaryota; Viridiplantae; Streptophyta; Magnoliopsida; Poales; Bromeliaceae. The record is from RNAcentral.